GAUGAACGCUAGCGGCAGGCUUAAUACAUGCAAGGCGAAGGGGCAGCAAUGUCACUGUCGUACGGGUGCGUAACGCGUAUGCAACCUACCUAUCACUGGGGGAUAGCCCGGGGAAACCCGGAUUAAUACCGCAUAAAACAGGGGCACCGCAUGGUGAUAUUUGUUAAAGAUUUAUUGGUGACAGAUGGGCAUGCGUUCGA
RNAcentral lists this ribosomal RNA (200 nucleotides) under uncultured bacterium. RNAcentral's name for it is "partial 16S ribosomal RNA". It matches the Rfam family "Bacterial small subunit ribosomal RNA", at positions 28 to 240 of the family's 1533-position model. The record is from RNAcentral.